GCCAACCAAUAUGUGGCCAUAGAUUGUGGCUAAAUACAGAAAACUUGACAGUAGCUUGAAGUGUAUAUUUUAUUUAUAUUUCAACCAGGACAACUAUAGUCAUAAGACUGUUGUUUUAGUAAUUUUUGUUUGGAGGUAUGGUUCUAUUCUGCGCUAAUGUAGAAAGCACAAAGCAGGGAGACUCUUUUCAUGUAAACUAUACUUCUGCAUCAGCUCUACGUCGUAACUUAUACCAUAACCAGACCCCAUUUUAACCCUAUGCCGCAACCUUCUAAGUAACCUGUCGUGUGCUUCCCUAGAAAUCUACCUACAUGUCGGGCCAAUGCAUACCACAACGACUUGAUGGUGGGGAAGACCUCAGUAUUGGAAACUAGUGGGACAUGCUAGCUCCAUGCCUGAGGCUUAUGCAAAAGUCUGGGGGAAAGACAGACCCAAAGAGACCUAUCUGCUGCCUCCCACUGAAGACGCUCAGUCCAGUCUGCAGCUGAGGAUUACCGUGUGGAAGGCAGGAGGAGGAACGUGAGACAGCAACUUCCCGUGAGGCAACUUUUCCAAACAACAUAGUAAUCAGAGCAGAGACGGCAGCCGAGGAGAGAGCAGAAAACAAGAGAGGGAGAGUUAGAGAGGAGAGGCCAAAUGGAGGUAAAGGUUGGGCACAACAGCCUGAGGCACACUGUCGGGGGCAGAGAGCUGCACAAAAUCACCUCUGAAAGGGUAGCUGGAGCUGCUGUUGACUGAAAUCAUAACAAUACUAGUUAUACAUGCUGAUCAGUGCGAAGAACUGUUUUACGAUGAAAACUACGGCUCAAGCAGCUAGAGUCAUCACUUCAGGUUAUGAGGCAC
Long non-coding RNA from Oreochromis aureus, 843 nucleotides. NCBI's taxonomy places the organism in Eukaryota, Metazoa, Chordata, Actinopteri, Cichliformes, Cichlidae. The record is from Ensembl.